RNAcentral lists this long non-coding RNA (194 nucleotides) under Mustela putorius furo (domestic ferret). RNAcentral's name for it is "lncRNA (ENSMPUG00000024563.1)". Lineage: Eukaryota; Metazoa; Chordata; Mammalia; Carnivora; Mustelidae. The record is from RNAcentral.
GGGACGGCCAAGGCAGAGACAUGGAGGACCACGGGGAAGGACACACACGAGGUGCCCAGCAUGCCUGACCAGCGCCGGAAAUAGAACCGGGCAGCUGGGCUCAGCCACGUCUUCUAAGGUCUCAUUUCCCAGGAUUCUGCUGUUAACCUUCCACCUGGACCCUGUGGCAAAGGACGUGAUGCCCCAUCCCCAAA